CCUGCACAAACAAACCUCGCUAAUUUACUACCUUAAGCCUAAACUCUGCUUAAAUUCCUCAGUAACUACACAGUUCAGCCAUAAGAACACAAGAAGGAUAGAAAUGAGAUUUUCGCCCACCCCGGCAGUUUUGGGGAACCAGCCAGUAGACCUUACUGGCCAGAAAACUGCUUUCCCCCUGAGGCUGCUGCAGCUAAGAGAUCCUGGACUUCUGACACAGAACCUGCUGAAAAGAUUGGGAAACUGAGGCUUCAAUUCUGAGACAGGUAGAGUCAUGAAGAGUUGAGGGAAUGGAAGCUCCCUGAUGGAGUGAAAAGCAUUGGAGGGAGCUUAGGAGGCUUCCUCUGAGGUUACCCAGUUGGCUACCCUUGGGCAGACCAACUGGUAAGAUGUGUGGGAACCAUUAGAAGACUCUUCAGGUGGAGAUGGAUAGCAUGGAAGAUACAAGUUCACUGAGGUCAAGAGUUUUACUUUUCUCUUUUUUUUUUUUGAGGAAGACUAGCACUGAACUAACAUCCACUGCCAAUCCUCCUCUUUUUUCUGCUGAGGAAGACUGGCCCUGAGCUAACAUCUGUGCCCAUCUUCCUCUACUUUAUGUAUGGGAUGUCUGCCACAGCAUGGCUUGACAAGUGGUGCGUAGGUCCGCACCCAGGAUCUGAACCAGCGAACCCUGGGCUGGCAAAGCAGAAUGUGAGAACUUAACCACUGCGCCACCAGGCCAGACCCAAAGGUUUUGUUUUUCUUUGCUUGUCCAGUGACUAGCAAAAGAUCCAGCACAAAACUAGCAUGAAGCAGAUACUUUUGAAGAAAAAAUCCAAAAGCAAGCAAGAGAAGAGUAAGAAGGAAGGAAGGAAAAAGGAAAGAAUGAGAGAGAGAAUGAGAAGGCAAAAGAGAAAGAGUAUAAGAUUAAAAAAAGAAAAGGAGAUACUGAAAGAAGAAAGAAGAAAGAAUGAGCAAAAAGAAAGAAGAAUAGAUGUAAAAGUUGCCUUAAGCUGAAAAAUAGUGAAAAAAUUUCUCUCAGUUUAAAAAGAAACUAUGCUUAAAUUAUUUACAGUCAGAAGCCAAUUUUGAAGUUUUAAAUUAUGUCAGACUUGCUACAGUUUACUGUUGUAGGAUUUAAGUAUUGCUGCUGUGAUUAAUAAGGGCAUUGUAUAAUGAGGUUUUAAAAUUUGCUUACAUAAUGUGAAUGUUCUGCAGACACUUGAUGCAAAGAUCAUGCGAAGUCUGAAAAGUUAAACAAUCAUAAUGAUGAUUAUUAAAUUUUCAUGUGAGGGUACAGUUCUCAAGGGACAUUCACUUACAUCAUUUCAUUUUUAGCCCUACCUCAAUUCUGAGUAGUAGCUUAUUUUGGCUCAAUUAGAGAGAUAAAGAAAGCAAACAAAGAGAGA
RNAcentral lists this long non-coding RNA (1388 nucleotides) under Equus caballus (horse). RNAcentral describes it as "lncRNA (ENSECAG00000037948.3)". The record is from RNAcentral. Lineage: Eukaryota; Metazoa; Chordata; Mammalia; Perissodactyla; Equidae.